GUCUUCGUAGGUGAACCUGCGUAGGA
This 26-nucleotide ribosomal RNA is filed under the name Allovahlkampfia spelaea. Its description in RNAcentral is "partial 18S ribosomal RNA". Lineage: Eukaryota; Heterolobosea; Eutetramitea; Acrasida; Acrasidae. The record is from RNAcentral.